This is a non-coding RNA of Pelodiscus sinensis (Chinese soft-shelled turtle), 485 nucleotides long. The record is from RefSeq and is a predicted model, not a curated record. Lineage: Eukaryota; Metazoa; Chordata; Testudines; Trionychidae.
GGACCUCAAGGUGUCUGCUAAAUGCAGCAUUACUGGGUAAGCAAAUUGUGAGAGUUAAACUGGCUGAUGCAAUGAAGUUUAAUAGUCGUUCAAAUGGGUUUUGCUAGCUCAAGCUGGCCAAGCAUUUAAAAGUACAUCUUUUCCCAGAGCCCACACUCAGUCAGGAGGCAACGUGACAAGAAAACCAAUAGGUGCGUUCUGAAUUAGAGUUACCUCCCAGGAGGGAACCCAAGCGAAGGCAGCCAGUCGCUAUCAUUGUGAAGGUGGACUCUGAUCCUGCAGUUUACUCCAUUACUACAAAGGGGCCAAAUUCAGAGCCGAGGCUAAAGAAGUGAGUCUAAGCGAGUGGUCACCAACCAGUUUAUCGGCAUCUACCUGUAGAUCUUGGAGCCUCUGACAGACUCGUUCACACAUACCACAUGGAAAAGAGAGGCCCUUGGAUUAUUGCUAAAUCUGUAUCUUGUGGCCACAUCCUAGCUAGGCCC